This 334-nucleotide long non-coding RNA is filed under the name Mytilus galloprovincialis (Mediterranean mussel). The record is from RNAcentral. Lineage: Eukaryota; Metazoa; Mollusca; Bivalvia; Mytilida; Mytilidae.
GUUCGGACUCCUUGGUGUUUUUCCAUACAAUACAAUGUAAAAUAUUUUGCCACAUAACACCCAUUUAUUUUUUCAUGUAAGACUUAUUAGCUCAUGAAUGGUCAUUUACCAAAAUUUUAGAAGAUUCUUGAUUUUCUUUCUUUUGUUUUGAGACCCAAUAAUACCAAUGCAAAUAUAAGGUAAAAGUCCGAGUCAGACUUUUCCCGCCACAUUUUAAAUCUCAAAUAUCUCGAAAAGGAGGUCCAUGACCUAUCAAUAUUUUUAACUUAUUUUAAUCCUUAAUUGAUGCUCUACCAGCUUAUAGUAUCAAUUUUAACUUCUUAAUUUAUUAUUU